RNAcentral lists this ribosomal RNA (385 nucleotides) under uncultured archaeon. Its description in RNAcentral is "bacterial SSU rRNA". It matches the Rfam family "Archaeal small subunit ribosomal RNA", at positions 331 to 716 of the family's 1478-position model. The record is from RNAcentral.
UGCAGCAGGCGCGAAACCUUUACACUGCACGACAGUGCGAUAAGGGGACUCCGAGUGCGAGGGCAUAGAGCCCUCGCUUUUGUCCACCGUAAGGAGGUGGAGGAAUAAGGGCUGGGCAAGACCGGUGCCAGCCGCCGCGGUAAUACCGGCAGCCCAAGUGAUGGCCGAUAUUAUUGGGCCUAAAGCGUCCGUAGCUGGCCGCGCAAGUUCGUCGGGAAAUCCACUUGCUUAACGGGUGGGCGUCCGGUGAAAACUGCCUGGCUUGGGACCGGAAGACCCGAGGGGUACGUCCGGGGUAGGAGUGAAAUCCCGUAAUCCUGGACGGACUACCGAUGGCCAAAACACCUCGCGAACACGGAUCCGACAAUCCGCCCGAAAGGCCAUC